UUAGACCAACGCCUUGUUGGCAGGUAGAGUUGACAAUUCUGGAACCAACACCUUCUUAAGUCAAUGUUUGUUUGGAACUAAUGUACAGGUUGACAUCUAUUACUCAGCUUGUUCAUCAUGGAUUGAUCUAUGUGCCCAUUGGAUACACCUUUGGUGCUGGCAUGUUUGAGAUGAAUGAGGUGAAGGGUGGUUCUCCAUAUGGAUCAGGAACAUUGGAUGGUGAGGAUGGCUUAAGAGACCCAAGUGAGUUAGAAUUGGCUCAAGCUUUCCAUCAAGGGAAGUACCUUGCAGCCAUUGCCAAGAAGCUCAAGGGAUCUUAGUGACUUUUAUUUUCAAUAUUGUCAGACAAAAUAAAAUGUUUGUAGCAUAUGAAAACAAAAAUAUUGAUUGAAUACAAUUGUUGUCACUUGUCAUGUGUAUCAGCAUACUUCAAUGUCUAGCUUAUUUUCAAAAAACAAGAAUUGACUAUUGGCUUAUUGCUAGUAUUUUCAAUGGGUUCAAAGUUUUUAGCAAAAUAUAAACUUGAAGCUUGAUGCUAAUCAUAGUUUUUUUGAAGUUCCAAUCAUAGUUGAUCAACCAUGAUUUUUUUAUCGGCAAUUAUUAAUAUGUUAGUUGUUAGUAUAUUAAUAUUUUGUUGUGGGUGAGACACAUUCAUAAUUAUUUAAGUAAUUUGGCAAAGACUACACAUUCAUUUAUAUCUAGUACUCUAGGAGAGACAUUCUAAUUUAAACUAUAUUUCAUCUUAGCACAUAGUUGGAAGGAUAUGAAUCAUAUCAAUAAGUGUAGUCCUUCACGUUUGACUAAAAUAAUUGACAGAAUAAAAUUUCAAAGACUAAACAUAUAAUGGAUAAAUGUUACUCUUUCUUUUCCACAUAUAUAGUGUCCAACUUACUGUUCCCAUUAAUUGUUCAUUUUUAAUUAAUCAUAUGAAUAAUUAAGGCCUGAAAAGUAAAAUUGGCUCUUGCCCAACAUCCUACAUUAUUUGGCAAAGACUUUAUUCUUACUUUAGACUUACCUCUACUAUUCAUAAUGAAGUAAAGACCCAUUUGUCAAUUCAUGCAUAUUUGUUACGGAUGGACAACAAGAAAAUCCAUUUGUGAAUGGCUCUUUGGUUUGUCACAGUUUGGACUCUUUGACAUAUUAGGAACAAAUGUAUUUUUGAGAACAAGCGUUUUCACUUUGAUGAGAUGAUGAAGCUUAUUUUGCUACAUUCUUGGAGUCUUAUCAAUGCCCGCUUCCUUUCUUUUCUUUUUCUCUAGUUGCUUGGUUGAGGAACCCUUCAAAUGGUAUUCUUCCUUAUUAUUUAUAGGGAUUUAGUGGAUAAGAGUACCACUUGUUCUCCUAACUUUUCUUUAUCUCUAUAUUAAUAUUCUUAUUACUAAUAAAAAAAAAACACGGUGAGUAGAUUGUUUCCUCUCUUUUGUUAGGCAAUAAUAUGAUAUAAGCCAUAUUCCAAAUAAAUGAUAUUAAAGUAAAAAUAGAAAAAAUAAUGAAUAUCAAACUUUAUUAACCUUCCUAAUUAAGCACUUUAUCUAUGUAACAAGUUUAAAAAGCAAGUCAUACCCAACCUAAUCCAAAUCCGCUAACUCCAUUUCUUAUACAAGUUAGGCCCAAAUUGCACCCAAAACCAAUUAUUCUGCUUCUUAAUAUUCUGCCUAAAUUAUAUUUAAAUUGUUAGAGCAUUAUCUUUGAAUUUAUCCAUAAUUUAAUUUAUCUAUUAAGUAUUAUUUGAAUCAUUAUGAUCUUAUAUUUAUAACAAUUUUUACUAUAUAAUAAAUUAAUUAGAAUAAUUCUAGUUUUGUUUUAACUCUAUAUAAAACAGUGACCCAAUACUGAAUAUUGAUAUAAUUGUAUACGAUUUUGUCUUCUAGUUGUCAUAACUUUGGGAAUAAUCAAAUAAUCAACGUCAACUAAUUAACGUUAUGCUCAGAUACGUAUUGCACCUAAAGUCCUUUUGUCCUUUUCAAAUCAGAACAUUUCAUGCAGGUCAAACAUUUAGAAUGACAACACUAUAGGUAUAAAAAAAGAUUUAAAGGGAGGGCCUACUAUAUAUAUAUAUAUAUGGAAGAAUCUAACAUUUGUAUACAUCAACGUUCCUUCAAGGAAUUUAAGUGAUAUUUUGGUGUGUGAAUAGACUGAAAAAUCAGAAAAAGAAGGAACAUUUUCAAGAUCUGGAAUAAAAACUUGCAUUACAAGAUAGGAAAGACAUGCCUUGUUAUUGAUUAGCCAAAACAAGGAAAAAGAAAAGUUAAGUAUAAAAGUAAAGAUAUAUGAAGAGGAGUCAUAAUAUACAUAUCCUUUAUUAGCCUUAGAAAUCACAAUGAUGCUGCAUGUCAUUUUGUUUCCUACUUUAUGAAAUUCCUUUCAUGUAUAUAUCUUCUUAUGUAUUUAGUUACUCCACCUUUAUAAAGUAAAACUAAGAAUUAUGAACCAUGGAGUAGUAAUGAUCCUGAUAUGCAUGAAUGUGUCGUCUAAUCAAGAGAUGCUAGCAAUUUGAUUUUUAAUUACUAAAGUGAUACCUUUUCAUGAUUAGUCACUUCUCAUGCUUACAUGGAUUCUUUAGCUUUAAGGUUGUUUCUCAUUUGAUUACUUAAAUCAUUAUUUAGCCCUAUCAAUGGUCCACCGUUAUUGUAUCAGCUUUACUGCAGAAAGAAUACGAUGAUAUAGGGAGUCAUAAGGUGAUCUGAUGGUGAAGAUGGUGGUUGUAAGGAAUAGAGUGCAGGAGGUUGUGGUUUUCGAGUCCCACCAUUAACAAAAAGGAGUUAUAAGGUGGUUAGAUGAUAGGGUGUAAGUAAGAGUUUGAGAGUGGAGUCUCACCCACAGCAAAAUACUAACAUAAUAACACCUUACAUACUAACAAUUUCCGAUAAAAAAAAAACUGCCAAAAAUAGCAAUCUACAAUUCUACAUAUAUACAUGAAGUAAAAUAUGGAAGGAAAGUAAAACAGUUUAUUUUGAAUGAACUUAUAGAAAAUUGAUUUUGUUAUCCAAAAUUUUACAAGGACGGAGCACAUUAAUUCACUGCCAAGACAAUGAUUUGAGAUAACAAAAAAAAAAAGACAAAGAUUUGAUGCGUGCUUGAAAAACCAUGCUCUUGUGCCCUGACUAAUAAUUAAUCUAUGAACACUAUUCGACAAAUAAACAAAAAGUAGGUUACCUAAAAUUAAAAUCAAAUGAAUGUUAUGAACUUAUAACAUAAUCCACUUUAUUUUGUCAACCCAAAAAAAAUAAAGUUGGUGCGACACCUUUAAUGAUACAAAAUAUAUAAGGACAUAUAUAUANNNNNNNNNNNNNNNNNNNNNNNNNNNNNNNNNNNNNNNNNNNNNNNNNNNNNNNNNNNNNNNNNNNNNNNNNNNNNNNNNNNNNNNNNNNNNNNNNNNNUAUAUAUAUAUGUAUUCCCUUGCAGUGGUCACUAAUCAUGUGCUAGGGUACAUCAUUAUUAUUUUGCAUGGUCCAUCUUUGAAGAGCUACUACCCAUUUGUACAAGGAAAAAGUUUAUUACACACUAGUUUUGUCUAAGUCACUUUUUAAAGUAGGGUCAACAAAUACUUCACCAAUCUUGGCCUCAAAUUUGCUUCUACAUAUAGUUUAUAUGGUCAUUAUAAUAGUUUUCCACUGGAAGAGUCACUUUGUCGUGUUAAUUUCUCUAGCUGCUGAUGAAUGCGCCUCCAAAUGUUGGAGUCCAGAAAUCAACACUUGUCUCAUUAACUACUUGGAAUGUGCUUGAAAUUGGAACCAAACAUAGCCCUCUGCUUCUUAAAUCUUGUUUUGGGCCUUCUGAAUCACUCAGAUUAUCACAUCUCUUCAAAAACAUAGACACAAGUAUUUCAACAUCCACAUUAGAAACUUUACCUUAAAAAAUAUAUAGAUAUUAAAUCCAUCCUAUAUAUAUAUAUAUGAGGUAUAUAAAUUUAGAAAACUUUUUUAUAUCAGAAUAUGAAGAGAAAAUUAUCAUUUAUCAUUAGAUCUAAUUAUAUGAACAUUUGAGAUUACAAUAAAAGUCUUCUGACUUUUUUUAAGUGGUAAUAUAAUUUUUCUUAAAUGGUGGUAUGACUAUGAAAUAAUUAUUAACCCUAACAGUGUAUGUAUGUUUUUUGAGGCUAGCUUUGAGCAUAUGAUAGUGCUGUAUAUCCCUGGAUCCUUUCUAAAAGGUGCAGAACCUGCUCACUUUGAUGCUCAGCUUUUCCUUUUCUAAUAAAAUUUUAUUUUACUUAUAAAAAAACAACACAUGGAUGUUUGUACCAUCAAAUCUGUAUAAAAGCUCCAUUUUCUCUAUAUUUAUAGUGUUAUACAUAUGAUUAUUUUGUAAAUUAUUAUAAUUUCUAAGUAGGUACAAAAGGUAGUUGAGAAAGAUAAAUGCUUUAUAUAGGUAUAUUAUAAUAAGAUUUUUGUAAUACCUGUUGGUGCUGAAUGUGAGCACCGUUUUUAAGAUAUGAAGUGUUCAAAACCUGAAAUUAAGUAAUAAUAGAAAGUAUGAGUAAGUACUAACUCUUUGAUUUACCUUAAAAAAUAAAAGUAUUAUUUCAUUAUAGCAGAUAAAAGUGUAAUUGUUUUCUUAUUUUGCUUUUUAAGGACUUCUUUAUCCAAAGAUGAUUCUCAUUCAGAAAAGUAUAUAUAUAUAUAUAUAUAUAUANNNNNNNNNNNNNNNNNNNNNNNNNNNNNNNNNNNNNNNNNNNNNNNNNNNNNNNNNNNNNNNNNNNNNNNNNNNNNNNNNNNNNNNNNNNNNNNNNNNNUUUAAUUUUAUAGAUCUUUUUGGUUUAAUUUUAUAGAUCUUUUUGGUUUAAUUUUAUAGAUCUUUUUGGUUUAAUUUUAUAGAUCUUUUUGGUUUAAUUUUAUAGAUCUUUUUGGUUUAAUUUUAUAGAUCUUUUUGGUUUAAUUUUAUAGAUCUUUUUGGUUUAAUUUUAUAGAUCUUUUUGGUUUAAUUUUAAGCGUUCAAUGAGGUGAGUCCUAGUUUUUAAAGUGGGCCCACUAAUCAAUUAUGGGUGGCAUUGGACAAAAAAGCCCACCAGUACCCAAUCUAGUACUAGCUUGACCCAUCUCUUAAGCUUGACUUCACCAAGACAAAUAUUUUUUCUAAUGUUCUUUGCUAUAGGCACUUCUUGGCAAGUUUUUAUAUCUCACUAUUUUUGGCUUGAUAUUUGGUAUAUUAUUCAAUAACUAAGCUUAUAUAUAUCUAUCCCAAUGGAAUCACAUUAUAAGCUACCUUAGGGUUUGUUUGGGAGUUGAAUUUUGGAGGGGAAGGAAGGGAAAAGGAAGGGAAAAGGAAGGCUUGAGAGCCAUGAAAUACACUUGUGAGAUGACUCUCAAGCCUUUCCUUUCCCUUCCUUCCCCUCCAAAAUCCAACUCCCAAACAAGCCCUAAGAGUCCAUCAUUUGAAGGCUUUCUCUAGUAUUUUUCUUUUACAUCUUCUGAUUGGGCAUGUUGUUUUGAUACCAAAAAAUAUCUCAUUGGGCUUUGUGUAUUUCUCGGAAAACCAAGAAACAAAACAUAUUGAGUAUGUCUUCCUCAAAAGCAGACUAUCGAGCCUUAGGUAGUUUAGUGUGUAAGAUCCAUUAGUUGCACUAUUUGUUUUUUGAUUUGCAGGUUGUCUUCUAUUCUCCUACAUCCAUUUAUUGUAAUAAUAGAUAAGCAAUAUUCUAGUAUUACAAUCCAAAUUUUAAUGAAAGAAUAAAGCAUAUUGAGAUUGAUUGAUAAGAGCCUUGUUCAUUUGUUAUUCAUUCCAACUUCGGCUCAAUUGGUGGAUGCCUUUACUUAGCUACUACAUGCUAAAUCAUUUCACCAUUUUCUAUCCAAGUUGUGUCUCUGUGAUCUUCAUCGUCCAACUUAACGAGAUGUUAGAGAUUGUUAGCUUUAGUUAUUUCUUAUUGGGCAAGUUAGUUGUAAAGUUGCCAAAAUAGGAAAGUAGAUAUAGUUAAGUUGAGUAGCUAGUUAUAGUUGGUUAGGUGGGCUUUGUUUUCAAGCUACUUUGCUUGAGUAUAAGUGGAGUCUUUUUGUUUUAGAAUAAGAGUAAUGUAACAUCUUCAUCCUUUUGUAACUUAGUUCUCUUGAACAAUUAUUCCACCUUCUUCUUCUCCUUGGUUUCAAAGCUUCCAUUUUCUUCUUUUACCUUAGAGUUCUAAGAAUAUGGAAAAUGUCAUUUAAAAGAUUAAACACAUUGAAUGCAAUAUUAAAGACAUUCUUUGUUCCUUGAUACAUCAUAUGAUACAAUUAAUCAUACAAGUGGAAACAUUCUUUUAAAAAUGAUUCAAACAGAACCAAGAAUAUCCCUAAUUAUAUAAAUGAAAGUGGUAGGAGAGAUAGAGAUGUUUCCACCAUAGUCCAAUUUGAGAGCAUUAAAGAAAUAGAAGUAUAUUAUAAUCAUUCAAUAAAAAAUUGCAUAUUAUUUUCAAUAAACAUUGAACCUGGAUUCAAUUACUCCACUAUAGUGUAAUUUUAUUAGUUGAUCCACCAAUCAUGGAAAAGUCCCCAUCAUCUUGUAGUAAUCGAAAGAUCAAGGUCAACAUAAUAAUUAUUUAUACAAUAAAAAAUAGUAAGGAUAACAACAGCAAUACUAAUUAACUGUAUAAAUUCAAUCACAAUAAUGAAGAAAUAAUUCAACUAUUGAACUAUUGAUACAAUAAACAAAUAGUAUGGAUAACAACAGCAAUUAUAAUUAUUUAUAAAAUAAACUGUUGGACCAGACUGCGACCAGGAGCCUCCAACUAUCAGGGAUUUCCAUUGUUACAUGGGUAUGUGAGACACCACGUCUUGAACCAAAACCUUAAGACAUUAGUUACACGGGUCAUUCCUACUUAUCAAUUCUUUCACUCCUCCACGCAUAUCCAAUAUGGGACUUCACACUUGACUAAACCUAACAUAAACAAAUACUAAUUAACAAUGACAAUAAUGAAGAAAUAAUUAACUUAUCUAACAAGGUAUGACCCUAUAAGAAUUGGUAUUCUGUCAAAGGUACACUCCCAACACUUUCUUUUGGUUUAAGAGAUAGAUUAGAUCAAGCUACCAUCAAUGGCUACUAAAGUUUACAUUGUGUAAGCCAUUAAUUCUUUUCCUCUCUCUCUUUUUUUCCCUUACUUGCUAAUUUCCAUUAUUGUUUUUUUAUGUAUAAAAGUUAAAAUCUAAUCCAUCUCAGACCCUAACCUUUUAUAUUUUUAACCGUUAAAAAAUUAUGUGCAAACCUAAGUUGUUCUUUCUGAGAGCAUAGUGCCACCAAAAUGUUAUUUUAGUGCAUUCAUGAAUCACUUUUAUAUGUUGGCUUAUAGUGAUUCUUGAUCAUUACAUUCUUGAUCCAUAUUUAAACAUUAUAGUUCCUCGUGGAUAUCUAGCUAGCAUCAUAAUACCUAUAAUAAGGGUAUAUAAUAUCCUUCUUGUGAUCUCAUAAUAUGUAUCUGAUAUAUUGAACUUUAUAUUACAUCUUUAGUUACUAUUCUCUACGAGGACAUGUUGCAACCCUAGCUGAAGAGAUUAAAAGGGGGGCUGAUUCUGUGGAAGGUGUAGAAGCAAAGCUGUGGCAGGUUGGAACAAUUUUCAUUUUCAUUUUCAGUUACAAAGUAUAUGUUAAAAUGAUUUCUUUCAUCUCAGAAUAAAUAGUUGAUUUUCUAUAUGUACUUGUUGUAUGACAUGUUUUAAAUUUUACUCCUCAGUCGCAAUUGACAUCGUUAUAAUAUUGUGGUUUUGGAAGCGUCCAUAAUGACAAUUUUGACUGAGUCGAUUUUUCGUAAUUAUUACAUAAUAGCAAUCAGAAUCUAAAACACCAAUUGUAUGUAUGUAUAUACAGGUAGCUGAAACACUAUCUGAAGUGGUACUUGGGAAGAUACAUGCACCAGAAAAGAAGGAUGUUCCAAUUAUUAAACCCAAUGAUCUAACUGAGGCUGAUGGGUUUUUGUUUGGAUUUCCAGCAAGAUAUGGAAUGAUGCCUUCACAAUUUAAGGCAUUUUUUGAUGCAACUGGAGGACUAUGGCGGACACAGGCACUUGCAGGAAAACCUGCUGGUCUCUUUUUCAGCACUUCUUCUCAAGGUGGUGGACAAGAAGAGGUUCCGUGAGUAACUUUUUUUGAUCUAUUUAGAGAUCUAAUAGGGCUUUAUACAAUUAGACCAACGCCUUGUUGGCAGGUAGAGUUGACAAUUCUGGAACCAACACCUUCUUAAGUCAAUGUUUGUUUGGAACUAAUGUACAGGUUGACAUCUAUUACUCAGCUUGUUCAUCAUGGAUUGAUCUAUGUGCCCAUUGGAUACACCUUUGGUGCUGGCAUGUUUGAGAUGAAUGAGGUGAAGGGUGGUUCUCCAUAUGGAUCAGGAACAUUGGAUGGUGAGGAUGGCUUAAGAG
Molecule: long non-coding RNA, 8323 nt
Filed under: Lupinus angustifolius (narrow-leaved blue lupine)
Lineage: Eukaryota; Viridiplantae; Streptophyta; Magnoliopsida; Fabales; Fabaceae
Description: long non-coding RNA (LANG_LNC002837)
Source: RNAcentral